UACGUAGGUGGCAAGCGUUAUCCGGAUUUAUUGGGCGUAAAGGGAACGCAGGCGGUCUUUUAAGUCUGAUGUGAAAGCCUUCGGCUUAACCGGAGUAGUGCAUUGGAAACUGGGAGACUUGAGUGCAGAAGAGGAGAGUGGAACUCCAUGUGUAGCGGUGAAAUGCGUAGAUAUAUGGAAGAACACCAGUUGCGAAGGCGGCUCUCUGGACUGUAACUGACACUGAGGCACGAAAGCGUGGGGAGCAAACAGG
RNAcentral lists this ribosomal RNA (253 nucleotides) under uncultured bacterium. Its description in RNAcentral is "partial 16S ribosomal RNA". It matches the Rfam family "Bacterial small subunit ribosomal RNA", at positions 524 to 776 of the family's 1533-position model. The record is from RNAcentral.